ACGUAGGGGGCGAGCGUUGUCCGGAAUUACUGGGCGUAAAGGGUGCGUAGGCGGCAGACUAAGUCUUGUGUGAAAUACCCGGGCUCAACCCGGGGGCUGCAUUGGAAACUGGAAUGCUUGAGUACAGGAGAGGUAAGAGGAAUUCCGAGUGUAGCGGUGAAAUGCGUAGAUAUUAGGAGGAACACCAGUGGCGAAGGCGGCUUACUGGAUUGAAACUGACGCUGAGGCGCGAAAGCGUGGGGAGCGAACAG
This 251-nucleotide ribosomal RNA is filed under the name uncultured prokaryote. RNAcentral describes it as "partial 16S rRNA". It matches the Rfam family "Bacterial small subunit ribosomal RNA", at positions 525 to 775 of the family's 1533-position model. The record is from RNAcentral.